AUUGAACGCUGGCGGCAGGCUUAACACAUGCAAGUCGAGCGGAGACUUCGGUCUUAGCGGCGAACGGGUGAGUAAUACCUAGGAAUCUGCCUAUUAGUGGGGGAUAACGAAUCGAAAGGUUCGCUAAUACCGCAUACGUCCUACGGGAGAAAGGGGGGGAUCUUCGGACCUCUCGCUAAUAGAUGAGCCUAGGCCGGAUUAGCUAGUUGGUAGGGUAAAGGCCUACCAAGGCGACGAUCUGUAGCUGGUCUGAGAGGAUGGCCAGCCACACUGGAACUGAGACACGGUCCAGACUCCUACGGGAGGCAGCAGUGGGGAAUAUUGGACAAUGGGGGCAACCCUGAUCCAGCCAUGCCGCGUGUGUGAAGAAGGCCUGCGGGUUGUAAAGCACUUUUGUUCGGGAAGAAAUCAUGUCGGUUAAUACCCGAUGUGGAUGACGGUACCGAAAGAAUAAGCACCGGCUAACUUCGUG
This 472-nucleotide ribosomal RNA is filed under the name uncultured bacterium. RNAcentral's name for it is "bacterial SSU rRNA". It matches the Rfam family "Bacterial small subunit ribosomal RNA", at positions 30 to 507 of the family's 1533-position model. The record is from RNAcentral.